Vollenhovia emeryi is the source of this 74-nucleotide non-coding RNA. Lineage: Eukaryota; Metazoa; Arthropoda; Insecta; Hymenoptera; Formicidae. The record is from the annotation of a RefSeq genome assembly.
GCCUCGGUGGUCGAAUUGGUUGAGACGCCCGCCUAGCGAGAGGGAGGUUCCAGGUUCAAACCCUGGCCGAGGUG